RNAcentral lists this ribosomal RNA (115 nucleotides) under Escherichia coli. Lineage: Bacteria; Pseudomonadati; Pseudomonadota; Gammaproteobacteria; Enterobacterales; Enterobacteriaceae. The record is from RNAcentral.
UGGCGGCCGUAGCGCGGUGGUCCCACCUGACCCCAUGCCGAACUCAGAAGUGAAACGCCGUAGCGCCGAUGGUAGUGUGGGGUCUCCCCAUGCGAGAGUAGGGAACUGCCAUGCA